Molecule: non-coding RNA, 192 nt
Organism: Oryza meridionalis
Lineage: Eukaryota; Viridiplantae; Streptophyta; Magnoliopsida; Poales; Poaceae
Source: Rfam
AAAAAGACAAACUCUGGGUUUCCGUGUCCAACGUUAUAUGAAUUUUUUUAUGAUUAGUAUUUUCAUUAUUGUUAGAUGAUAAAACAUGAAUAAUACUUUAUGCGUGACUUACCUUUUUAAAUUUUUUUAUAAUUUCUACAAAUAAGACAGAUGGUCAAAUGUUAGACACUGAAACCCAGAAAUUGAGUUAUU